RNAcentral lists this long non-coding RNA (3179 nucleotides) under Malus domestica (apple). RNAcentral's name for it is "long non-coding RNA (MDOM_LNC006631)". The record is from RNAcentral. Lineage: Eukaryota; Viridiplantae; Streptophyta; Magnoliopsida; Rosales; Rosaceae.
AAAAAAGAUUGAGGAAGUGCACAGAGAUGCUGCACAAGAACUACAGGCACAGUCUAGUAGGCUGGCCCGUGGUCCUGGAAUCAAUCCAUCAGCUAGAAGGGGGCCUCCUAUGGAAUUCAGUCCAAGAGGAUCGACUAUGUUAUCUUCACCUAAUGCCCACAUGAAAUUAACUCCUCAAAACUAUGAAAAACUAUUCGAGCAAAGGCACCAAGCUGACAGGAAGAAUGAAGUGGGUAAAGUGAGUGAUGAAGAGCAGGUCAAGCAAAGGCAGUUAAAGGCUAUAGUGAACAAGUUAACUCCUCAAAACUUUGAAAAACUAUUCGAGCAAGUGAAAGCUGUUAAUAUAGAUAAUGCGACUACUCUAACUGGUGUCAUUUCACAUAUCUUUGACAAGGCUCUUAUGGAGCCUACUCUCUGUGAGAUGUAUGCUAACUUCUGUUUUUAUCUUGCCGGAGAGUUGCCUGAUUUCAGUGAAGACAAUGAAAAGAUAACUUUUAGGAGAUUGCUUUUGAACAAGUGCCAGGAGGAAUUUGAGAGGGGAGAAAGAGAGCAAGAGGAGGCCAAUAAGGCUGAUGAGGAGGGUCAGGUAAAACAGUCUGAAGAAGAAAGAGAGGAGAAAAGAAUCAAGGGGCGAAGAAGAAUGUUGGGUAACAUUAGCUUGAUUGGGGAGCUAUACAAAAAGAGAAUGUUGAUCGAGAGAGUAAUGCACGAAUGCAUUAAAAAGAUGUUAGGUCAGCAACAGACUCCAGAUGAGGGCGAUAUUGAAGCUUUGUGCAAACUAAUGAGCACAAUUGGGGAGAUGAUUGAUCAUCCGAAAGCCAAGGAGCACAUGGAUGCAUAUUUUGAAAGGAUGAAAAGCUUAUCGAAUAACUUGAAAUUAUCUUCUAGGGUUAGGUUCAUGUUGAAGGAUGCAAUUGAUUUGAGAAAGAAUAAAUGGCAGCAGAGGAGCAAAGUUGAAGGACCAAAAAAGAUUGAGGAAGUGCACAGAGAUGCUGCACAAGAACUACAGGCACAGUCUAGUAGGCUGGCGCGUGGUCCUGGAAUCAAUCCAUCAGCUAGAAGGGGGCCUCGUAUGGAAUUCAGUCCAAGAGGAUCGACUAUGUUAUCUUCACCUAAUGCCCACAUGAAAUUAACUCCUCAAAACUAUGAAAAACUAUUCGAGCAAAGGCACCAAGCUGACAGGAAGAAUGAAGUGGGUAAAGUGAGUGAUGAAGAGCAGGUCAAGCAAAGGCAGUUAAAGGCUAUAGUGAACAAGUUAACUCCUCAAAACUUUGAAAAACUAUUCGAGCAAGUGAAAGCUGUUAAUAUAGAUAAUGCGACUACUCUAACUGGUGUCAUUUCACAUAUCUUUGACAAGGCUCUUAUGGAGCCUACUCUCUGUGAGAUGUAUGCUAACUUCUGUUUUUAUCUUGCCGGAGAGUUGCCUGAUUUCAGUGAAGACAAUGAAAAGAUAACUUUUAGGAGAUUGCUUUUGAACAAGUGCCAGGAGGAAUUUGAGAGGGGAGAAAGAGAGCAAGAGGAGGCCAAUAAGGCCGAUGAGGAGGGUCAGGUAAAACAGUCUGAAGAAGAAAGAGAGGAGAAAAGAAUCAAAGGGCGAAGACGAAUGUGGGGUAACAUUAGAUUAAUUGGGGAGCUAUACAAAAAGAAAAUGUUGACUGAGAGAAUUAUGCACGAAUGCAUUAAAAAGAUGUUAGGUCAGCAACAGACUCCAGAUGAGGAAGAUAUUGAAGCUUUGUGCAAACUAAUGAGCACAAUUGGGGAGAUGAUUGAUCAUCCGAAAGCCAAGGAGCACAUGGAUGCAUAUUUUGAAAGGAUGAAAAGCUUAUCGAAUAACAUGAAAUUAUCUUCUAGGGUUAGGUUCAUGUUGAAGGAUGCAAUUGAUUUGAGAAAGAGUAAAUGGCAGCAGAGGAGCAAAGUUGAAGGACCAAAAAAGAUUGAGGAAGUGCACAGAGAUGCUGCACAAGAACUACAGGCACAAUCUAGUAGGCUGGCCCGUGGUCCUGGAAUCAAUCCAUCAGCUAGAAGGCGGCCUCGUAUGGAAUUCAGUCCAAGAGGAUCGACUAUGUUAUCUUCACCUAAUGCCCACAUGAAAUUAACUCCUCAAAACUAUGAAAAACUAUUCGAGCAAAGGCACCAAGCUGACAGGAAGAAUGAAGUGGGUAAAGUGAGUGAUGAAGAGCAGGUCAAGCAAAGGCAGUUAAAGGCUAUAGUGAACAAGUUAACUCCUCAAAACUUUGAAAAACUAUUCGAGCAAGUGAAAGCUGUUAAUAUAGAUAAUGCGACUACUCUAACUGGUGUCAUUUCACAUAUCUUUGACAAGGCUCUUAUGGAGCCUACUCUCUGUGAGAUGUAUGCUAACUUCUGUUUUUAUCUUGCCGGAGAGUUGCCUGAUUUCAGUGAAGACAAUGAAAAGAUAACUUUUAGGAGAUUGCUUUUGAACAAGUGCCAGGAGGAAUUUGAGAGGGGAGAAAGAGAGCAAGAGGAGGCCAAUAAGGCCGAUGAGGAGGGUCAGGUAAAACAGUCUGAAGAAGAAAGAGAGGAGAAAAGAAUCAAAGGGCGAAGACGAAUGUGGGGUAACAUUAGAUUAAUUGGGGAGCUAUACAAAAAGAAAAUGUUGACUGAGAGAAUUAUGCACGAAUGCAUUAAAAAGAUGUUAGGUCAGCAACAGACUCCAGAUGAGGAAGAUAUUGAAGCUUUGUGCAAACUAAUGAGCACAAUUGGGGAGAUGAUUGAUCAUCCGAAAGCCAAGGAGCACAUGGAUGCAUAUUUUGAAAGGAUGAAAAGCUUAUCGAAUAACUUGAAAUUAUCUUCUAGGGUUAGGUUCAUGUUGAAGGAUGCAAUUGAUUUGAGAAAGAAUAAAUGGCAGCAGAGGAGCAAAGUUGAAGGACCAAAAAAGAUUGAGGAAGUGCACAGAGAUGCUGCACAAGAACUACAGGCACAAUCUAGUAGGCUGGCCCGUGGUCCUGGAAUCAAUCCAUCAGCUAGAAGGCGGCCUCGUAUGGAAUUCAGUCCAAGAGGAUCGACUAUGUUUUCUUCAUCUAAUGCCCAUAUGGGUGGUUUCCGUGGGAUGCCUGCUCAGGUUCGUGGUUAUGGCAGUCAGGAUGUCCGUACAGAUGAAAGACAUUCUUAUGAGAGUAGGACCUUGUCAGUUCCCUUGACACAAAGACCAAUUGGUGAUG